Molecule: small RNA, 107 nt
Filed under: Marmota monax (woodchuck)
Lineage: Eukaryota; Metazoa; Chordata; Mammalia; Rodentia; Sciuridae
Source: RNAcentral
GCUGGGUAUGGUGGUGCACACCUGUAAACCCAGCAACUUGGGAGGCUGAGGCAGGAGGAUCACAAGUUUGAGUUCAGUGUCAGGAACUUAGUGAGACUCUGUCUUAA